Molecule: ribosomal RNA, 1043 nt
Filed under: Escherichia coli HVH 26 (4-5703913)
Lineage: Bacteria; Pseudomonadati; Pseudomonadota; Gammaproteobacteria; Enterobacterales; Enterobacteriaceae
Description: bacterial SSU rRNA
Rfam family: Bacterial small subunit ribosomal RNA
Source: RNAcentral
AGAGUUUGAUCAUGGCUCAGAUUGAACGCUGGCGGCAGGCCUAACACAUGCAAGUCGAACGGUAACAGGAAACAGCUUGCUGUUUCGCUGACGAGUGGCGGACGGGUGAGUAAUGUCUGGGAAACUGCCUGAUGGAGGGGGAUAACUACUGGAAACGGUAGCUAAUACCGCAUAACGUCGCAAGACCAAAGAGGGGGACCUUCGGGCCUCUUGCCAUCGGAUGUGCCCAGAUGGGAUUAGCUUGUUGGUGGGGUAACGGCUCACCAAGGCGACGAUCCCUAGCUGGUCUGAGAGGAUGACCAGCCACACUGGAACUGAGACACGGUCCAGACUCCUACGGGAGGCAGCAGUGGGGAAUAUUGCACAAUGGGCGCAAGCCUGAUGCAGCCAUGCCGCGUGUAUGAAGAAGGCCUUCGGGUUGUAAAGUACUUUCAGCGGGGAGGAAGGGAGUAAAGUUAAUACCUUUGCUCAUUGACGUUACCCGCAGAAGAAGCACCGGCUAACUCCGUGCCAGCAGCCGCGGUAAUACGGAGGGUGCAAGCGUUAAUCGGAAUUACUGGGCGUAAAGCGCACGCAGGCGGUUUGUUAAGUCAGAUGUGAAAUCCCCGGGCUCAACCUGGGAACUGCAUCUGAUACUGGCAAGCUUGAGUCUCGUAGAGGGGGGUAGAAUUCCAGGUGUAGCGGUGAAAUGCGUAGAGAUCUGGAGGAAUACCGGUGGCGAAGGCGGCCCCCUGGACGAAGACUGACGCUCAGGUGCGAAAGCGUGGGGAGCAAACAGGAUUAGAUACCCUGGUAGUCCACGCCGUAAACGAUGUCGACUUGGAGGUUGUGCCCUUGAGGCGUGGCUUCCGGAGCUAACGCGUUAAGUCGACCGCCUGGGGAGUACGGCCGCAAGGUUAAAACUCAAAUGAAUUGACGGGGGCCCGCACAAGCGGUGGAGCAUGUGGUUUAAUUCGAUGCAACGCGAAGAACCUUACCUGGUCUUGACAUCCACGGAAGUUUUCAGAGAUGAGAAUGUGCCUUCGGGAACCGUGAGACAGGUG